UACGAAGGGGGCUAGCGUUGCUCGGAAUCACUGGGCGUAAAGGGUGCGUAGGCGGGGCUUUAAGUCAGGGGUGAAAUCCUGGAGCUCAACUCCAGAACUGCCUUUGAUACUGAAGAUCUUGAGUUCGGGAGAGGCGAGUGGAACUGCGAGUGUAGAGGUGAAAUUCGUAGAUAUUCGCAAGAACACCAGUGGCGAAGGCGGCUCACUGGCCCGAUACUGACGCUGAGGCACGAAAGCGUGGGGAGCAAACAGG
This 253-nucleotide ribosomal RNA is filed under the name uncultured bacterium. RNAcentral describes it as "partial 16S ribosomal RNA". It matches the Rfam family "Bacterial small subunit ribosomal RNA", at positions 524 to 776 of the family's 1533-position model. The record is from RNAcentral.